Molecule: non-coding RNA, 98 nt
Filed under: Bacillus sp. (in: firmicutes)
Lineage: Bacteria; Bacillati; Bacillota; Bacilli; Caryophanales; Bacillaceae
Description: Bacillus sp. SAM-I sequence
Rfam family: SAM riboswitch aptamer (S box leader)
About the family: The SAM riboswitch is found upstream of a number of genes which code for proteins involved in methionine or cysteine biosynthesis in Gram-positive bacteria. The SAM riboswitch acts at the level of transcription termination control.
Source: RNAcentral
UUCUUAUCCAGAGAGGUGGAGGGACUGGCCCUUUGAAGCCUCAGCAACAGACAGAUGUACUGUGCUAAUUCCAGAAGCAAUACGCUUGAAGAUAAGAA